RNAcentral lists this unclassified non-coding RNA (470 nucleotides) under Hevea brasiliensis (rubber tree). The record is from RNAcentral. Lineage: Eukaryota; Viridiplantae; Streptophyta; Magnoliopsida; Malpighiales; Euphorbiaceae.
GCCCACAAACCACAUUUUUAUCAGAGAGGAAACUUUUAUCUGUCUUGUGAGGAUGAUCGCACUAUUGAUAUUGAAGUGUGCCCAAGGUGCCAGAACCUGAAGUAUAUGAUUGCCCUGCAGAGGGUUGUCAGCAGAAAGAACAUUCCACUCAGACAUGCAGGGCAUGCACACUUUGUAUUGCUCGGUGUGUUCAGUGUGGCCGGUGUAUUAAUGACAAUGAAUAUGUGGAAACAUUCUGCCUUGAGUUGCUUUGUUCAGAUUGUUGGAAACAACUCCAGAAAUGCCAGGAGAAGCAAGAUGGUAAGAUCAGUCCAUCCAAGUCUCCUCCUCUUGGUGGAUCUAGUUGCCGCCUCCGUCUUCAUGGCUAGAGACAGACGCCUGUUUUUGUCUUCUGGUUUCAUAUUAUGAUUGAGAUGUGCAUAAUAGGUUAUUUAGAAUCUGAGAAGAAAAUGUGAGGCAGCCAUCUAGGA